Dermochelys coriacea (leatherback sea turtle) is the source of this 734-nucleotide long non-coding RNA. RefSeq lists it as uncharacterized. NCBI's taxonomy places the organism in Eukaryota, Metazoa, Chordata, Testudines, Dermochelyidae. The transcript has 3 exons. The record is from RefSeq and is a predicted model, not a curated record.
CAUUAAGUAAGACAGAGCACAUUGAUUACAAAUCUUUUUGUUUUUACGGGACUGUCUUACAUAUCUGAUUUGUAACACUAAGGAUCCCUUGCAUGUCUGUCUAUAUUAAAUUCAUUAUGUUCGUGAUGUGCCAGAAUUAUUAAUGCAUAAAUAACUUUGUUGACUGUCAACAGGUACAAGCCAUCUCAUCAGUAGUUUCCACUGUCAUUCUCUCAGGCAGAGCUCCACAAAUGAAAGUGAAGGUAAAUGCUAACACACUUUCAUACAUAGCAUGAGCAAAACACAGUUUCAUUCAGUGAGUUAAACAUAGUGUGAAACAGCAAAUACAAUGCUAUGUUUGAUGUGGAGGAGUACUCUAAUAGUAAUACAUGUAAUGAAAUUGGGAAAUACAGUAUAAUGUACAUUUAAUGGUUUGCUUCACUGGAAACUAUAAUUGCAUUUCUAAUUUCUUUUUAAAAUAAAUACAGAGUGAAUUACUUCAAAAUGAUAUAUUAUUGCUUCCUUGCCACACACCAGGUCAUUGGGUUCUUGUGAUAGCCUUGAUGAAAAAAUGGAAUUGUUAAUAAUUGACCCCUUGUGUGAUGAGAUGAGAUAUGAAAGAACAUGCCUGAGGAAUUGGAGAAACUUCAUCAAACGAUUAACUAGAAAAUCCUCAUCUGUUUGGAAUAGUAAAAUUGUUCAGCAUCCCAGACAAAGUGAUGGCCACAACUGCAGACCACUCAUCUUAAAGGUAU